RNAcentral lists this ribosomal RNA (639 nucleotides) under Guignardia cryptomeriae. RNAcentral's name for it is "eukaryotic LSU rRNA". It matches the Rfam family "Eukaryotic large subunit ribosomal RNA", at positions 1 to 654 of the family's 3401-position model. The record is from RNAcentral. Lineage: Eukaryota; Fungi; Ascomycota; Dothideomycetes; Botryosphaeriales; Phyllostictaceae.
UUGACCUCGGAUCAGGUAGGGAUACCCGCUGAACUUAAGCAUAUCAAUAAGCGGAGGAAAAGAAACCAACAGGGAUUGCCUUAGUAACGGCGAGUGAAGCGGCAAUAGCUCAAAUUUGAAAGCUGGCCCCUUCGGGGUCCGCGUUGUAAUUUGUAGAGGAUGAUUCGGCGAGGGCUCCCGUCUAAGUCCCUUGGAACAGGGCGUCAUAGAGGGUGAGAAUCCCGUAUGUGAUGGGCUGCCUUAGCCAUGUGAAUCUCCUUCGACGAGUCGAGUUGUUUGGGAAUGCAGCUCUAAAUGGGAGGUAAAUUUCUUCUAAAGCUAAAUACCGGCCAGAGACCGAUAGCGCACAAGUAGAGUGAUCGAAAGAUGAAAAGCACUUUGGAAAGAGAGUUAAAAAGUACGUGAAAUUGUUGAAAGGGAAGCGCUUGCAGCCAGACUUGUCCGCAGUUGCUCAGCUUGUCUCCUGACAGGCGUACUCUUCUGCGGCCAGGCCAGCAUCAGUUCGGGCGGUCGGAUAAAGACCUGGGGAAUGUAGCUCCUCUCGGGGAGUGUUAUAGCCCUGGGUGCAAUGCGGCCAGCCUGGACUGAGGAUCUCGCUUCGGCUAGGAUGCUGGCGUAAUGGCUGUAAGCGGCCCGUCU